AUACGAAGGGGGCUAGCGUUGUUCGGAAUUACUGGGCGUAAAGCGCGCGUAGGCGGACUGAUCAGUUGGGGGUGAAAUCCCAGGGCUUAACCCUGGAACUGCCUCCAAUACUGUCAGUCUUGAGUUCGGGAGAGGUGAGUGGAAUUCCUAGUGUAGAGGUGAAAUUCGUAGAUAUUAGGAAGAACACCAGUGGCGAAGGCGGCUCACUGGCCCGAUACUGACGCUGAGGCGCGAAAGCGUGGGGAGCAAACAGGAUUAGAAACCCCUGUAGUCC
RNAcentral lists this ribosomal RNA (274 nucleotides) under uncultured bacterium. RNAcentral's name for it is "partial 16S ribosomal RNA". It matches the Rfam family "Bacterial small subunit ribosomal RNA", at positions 523 to 796 of the family's 1533-position model. The record is from RNAcentral.